GGACUACAGGGGUAUCUAAUCCUGUUUGCUACCCACGCUUUCGUACCUCAGUGUCAGUAAUGGUCCAGAGAGCCGUCUACACCACAGGCGUUCCUCCUGAUAUCUACGCAUUUCACCGCUACACCAGGAAUUCCGCUCUCCUCUCCCACACUCAAGCCUGCCAGUAUCUAACGCACCCUCCCAGUUAAGCCAGGAGAUUUCACAUCGGACUUAGCAAACCACCUACGUACUCUUUACGCCCAGUAAUUCCGAACAACGCUUGCUGCCUACGUAUUACCGCGGCUGCUGGCAC
Molecule: ribosomal RNA, 292 nt
Filed under: uncultured Acidobacteriota bacterium
Lineage: Bacteria; Pseudomonadati; Acidobacteriota
Description: uncultured Acidobacteria bacterium partial 16S ribosomal RNA
Source: RNAcentral